Molecule: long non-coding RNA, 414 nt
Filed under: Lathyrus oleraceus (garden pea)
Lineage: Eukaryota; Viridiplantae; Streptophyta; Magnoliopsida; Fabales; Fabaceae
Description: Pisum sativum (pea) long non-coding RNA (PSAT_LNC005308)
Source: RNAcentral
AAAAAGGUUGGUGGUGGUGAAUGGAGUGGACGACAACGAUUGAAGGUGAGAUGAAGAGGUGAUGAAGAAAAGGGUUUAUGUGAGGAGGAUGGGGCGCUGUGGAGAAGAAGAGAAAAAGUUUUUUUCUUCUUUUUUAUUUUCCUUUUUUUCUUUCCACGUUCAGAGUCCGUGAGAGAGAGAAUAUUGGGAGAGAGACGCGUGUGGGAGCCUGUGAGAGAGAGAGGAAGUGGUUAAUGAUGAGUGAGGUGAUCGUUGGCCUUUUCUUCUUUUUUUUUCUUUUUUUCUAUUUCCCUUUUUUUUACUUCCUCAGAUAGAUAGAUAUGCUAAUGGGAAGCUAGUUGUCAUUUAAUUGUUCUUUCUUACCGUUGGAGUGGGAGUGGGCGACAACUGUCCCCGAGGAAAAGGAUAAGAUUC